UAUUAGUAUAAAUUACGAUUGGGGACUACGAACAAUGGUUUAAAAACCCAAGAAUUUGGCGGUGUCUUAUUCAAUCAGGGGAAUCUGUCUCGUAAUCGACAGCCCACGAAAAAUUAGCCUUUAUUCUUGAUAACUACAGCCUGUGUACUGCCGUCUAAUGGGCCCUCAAGGUUACCCAUAAUAAAUUAAUUUAAAUUUUACGUCAGGUCAAAGUGCAGCUAAUGAAGAGGAGAAGAUAGAUUACAUUCUAUAUCAUAGCUAAAAUAUACUGUAGAAAUAUAAUAAAAAGAACUUGAUAGUAGUUUCACUAAAAAAGUAAAAUGAAACUGAACCUAAGACAAGC
Molecule: ribosomal RNA, 343 nt
Filed under: Trocheta subviridis dalmatina
Lineage: Eukaryota; Metazoa; Annelida; Clitellata; Hirudinida; Erpobdellidae
Description: partial 12S ribosomal RNA
Source: RNAcentral